RNAcentral lists this ribosomal RNA (484 nucleotides) under uncultured bacterium. Its description in RNAcentral is "partial 16S ribosomal RNA". It matches the Rfam family "Bacterial small subunit ribosomal RNA", at positions 30 to 507 of the family's 1533-position model. The record is from RNAcentral.
AUUGAACGCUGGCGGCAUGCCUAACACAUGCAAGUCGAGCGGAUGAAGGGAGCUUGCUCCUGGAUUCAGCGGCGGACGGGUGAGUAAUGCCUAGGAAUCUGCCUGGUAGAGGGGGAUAACGUCCGGAAACGGGCGCUAAUACCGCAUACGUCCUGAGGGAGAAAGUGGGGGAUCUUCGGACCUCACGCUAUCAGAUGAGCCUAGGUCGCAUUAGCUAGUUGGUGGGGUAAAGGCCUACCAAGGCGACGAUCCGUAACUGGUCUGAGAGGAUGAUCAGUCACACUGGAACUGAGACACGGUCCAGACUCCUACGGGAGGCAGCAGUAGGGAAUCUUGGACAAUGGGCGAAAGCCUGAUCCAGCCAUGCCGCGUGUGUGAAGAAGGUCUUCGGAUUGUAAAGCACUUUAAGUUGGGAGGAAGGGCAGUAAGUUAAUCCCUUGCUGUUUUGACGUUACCAACAGAAUAAGCACCGGCUAACUUCGUG